UGGGUGAUCACACUCCAGUGUGGGCUCAGGGGCUGGGUGCCAGGGCUCGCCUCCCACCCAGAGUCCUCACUGGGCCGGGUGGGGUCGUCGCAAGGGCCGGUUCCGGUCGCAGACGCGUGGGAGGUGGCCUGAUGUCAAGGGCCCGUGCCCCAGGCAAACUCGGGCUCUCGGUCGCUCCCACGGGUCCUCCCACCGCACCACGCAGAGUGCUGGGUGCGCGUGCUUGUGAGUGCCUGUUCACGUGUUUGUGCGCAUCUGCGUGCCUCUGCGCGCGUGUGUGCAGGCGUCUGCGCACCAGUGCCUGGGUACGUCUUCAGGUGCUGGUGUGUGAGUUCGUCCAAGUGUCUGUGCAGAUGCUGGGAGAGAGGACCAGACAGCGCUAAGCGGCGCGCGCCGGCGUGAUGGCGCUCAGUCUCUGGAGGUGCCACCUUGGGGCUUCAUCGUGAGGCUCGCUGAAGAACUCCAGCGGCUGGGAGGCCCGCGGCCCAAGCCUCUCCCGCUCCAUCCUUCCACCCAAUGUUGGAAAAAGCCCUGUGCGCCUCUGCGCGUGUGCAGGGAACUACUGUAGCCCCCCACUUGAGCAGAGGGGGCAGAGGAGAGAGAGAAGAAUUUAAAAACCAAAUGUUUAACAUUUUUAUCGUUGUCAUUUGAACUUCUUUGGACCUAAAAACAGGUUUCCUUUGGAACACUAGUUUACAACUUACUGCUUAUUGAUUGAUUGGUUGGUUUAUGUACUGGCGAAGCCACUAUUUAAUAAAAAAGGAAAUACAGUAAGAUUGAAAGAUGGAAAGCGGACAUUGGAAAAAUACGCAGGAGGCGGAAUUCUGUCCCCACUCCUAUUCUUGCAAAAAACAAACCAAAAAACUCAGGAGAAUUUCUUCCCAUCUCCAACUCUCAGCUCCAUGGUCCCUAUCAGCUGAGAGCCACUUGACAAUUAUCUAGUUAAGCAGGAUCCCUCCUUCUGCUGGACUUCCCAAAUAAAAGUAACCACCUAAGAAAAGGCUUAUAUCCUCAUAUGGAUUUUCAUAUUUCUGCCCUAGAAUAAAAUAAGGUCCACCCAACAGUGCCUGGAAUGUCUCCACCAGAGGUGUUUAUUUCACAAAAGGAGAAGGGUUCCCACCACUAGAGCCCCUCCUCCAGCCUCCUGGGAGAUGAUUCCAUGGCUAGACACUGACUUCUGCGCCCCCAACCCUGGCAAAUUUCAAUCAAAGUCCAGGCAGAAAGUAGAGGAAUCUGUAUGCCACUUGCCCAUCUGACAACUCAAGGCCAGGAUUCUAGUCCCAACUACCUCUGACCAUUGGAAAAUUCCUUCCUGUAGCCAGGCUGAAAUUGGCUCCCUGAACAUCUCCUGACGUCCUGGAGCUGCUCCAGAGGUCAGGCUAAAGUAAAGCCCCCGGCUUCUGCUAGCACAGACACUGACUGGGAACAAUGUAAGUAAAACAGAAAGGCAGACAGGAUUAUUUACAGAUGCUUCUCCAUGGAUAAGAGCUAAUUAGAAGAUAAAGUGGUAAAGACAUACUUAGGAGGAUGGAGGGAGGCCAC
This 1542-nucleotide long non-coding RNA is filed under the name Capra hircus (goat). RNAcentral's name for it is "lncRNA (ENSCHIG00000005463.1)". The record is from RNAcentral. Lineage: Eukaryota; Metazoa; Chordata; Mammalia; Artiodactyla; Bovidae.